UCACGUUGAUCCUGCGUGAGAUUUCCGCUAGGGGGGUUUGAUUAAGCCAUGAAAGUGAAUUGGUGCUUGCACCAAUCGCAGAAGGCUGAGUAACACGUCAUUAACCUGCCUUACUGUCCUUAAUAAUCUUGGGAAACUGAGUGUAAAAUGGAUAGUUAUUUCAAACUGGAAUGUUGAAAUGAUAAAAGUAAGAUGGGAUGGCGGUCGAUUAGGUAGUUGGUGAGGUAAUGGCUCACCAAGCCCGAGAUCGAUAGGGGUCGUGAGAGCGAUGACCUCCAGAAGGACACUGAGAUAAGGGUCCUAGCCCUAAGGGGUGCAGCAGGCGCGAAACCUCUACAAUGCACGAAAGUGUGAUAGGGAAACCCCCUGUGCUUAUCUAACGAUAGGCUUUUUUAUAGCUUAGUGCGCUAUACGAAUAAGUGGUGGGCAAGACCGGUGCCAGCAGCCGCGGUAAUACCGGCGCCACAAGUGGAGAUCAUGUUUACUGGGUCUAAAGUGUUCGUAGCCGGUUUUUUAAGUCUCUUGUGAAAGUUCAGUAGCUUAACUCUGAAUUUGCAAGAGAUACUGGGAAACUCGAGGCCGGGAGAGGUAUGAGGUAUUGUUUGGGUAGCGGUAAAAUGUUAUAAUUCUUACAAGACCAACUAAGGCGAAGGCAUCAUACUUGAACGGACCUGACGGUGAGGAACGAGAGCUGGGGGAGCGAACCGGAUUAGAUACCCGGGUAGUCCCAGCCGUAAAACGCUGCGGGUUACGCUUUGCCAAAUCUUCGGGAUUUGGCAGGGGGGAAGCGAAGGCGAUAAACCCGCCACCUGGGGAGUACAGCCGCAAGGCCGAAACUUAAAGGAAUUGCCGGGGGAGUACUACAAGGGGUGCGGCGUGCGGUUUAAUUGGAUUAUACACCGAAAAACUUACCAGGGGCGACAGCACAAUGAAGGUCAGAUUGAAGGUUUUACCUAAGGCGCUGAGAGGUGCCGCAUGGCCGUCGUCAGCUCGUGCUGUAAGGUUUCCUCUUAAGUGAGGAAACGAGCAAGACCCAUGUCCAUAAUUGCAAUCCAGGUCGACUGGUGCACCUUAUGGGGACUGCCUAGGAAACUAGGAGGAAGGUGUGGGCUACGGUAGGUCUGUAUAGCCCGAAUCUCCUGGGCUACACGCGCGCAACAUUGAAUAAGACAAUGAGCUGCGACUCUGAAAGGAGUAGCUAAUCUCCAAACUUAUUCCAGGUAUAGAUCGAGGGUUGAAACUCAACCUCGUGACAUCGGAAUCCCUAGUAACCGAAGUUAAUCAGGCUUCGGUGAAUAUGUCCAUUCUCCUUGGACACACUGCCCGUCAAACCAACCAAGUAGGGUUCAGAAGAGGUGUUCUUUUAUUGGGAAUAUCAAUUCUGGACUCUGUGAGGGGGGUUAAGUCGGCACAAGGUA
RNAcentral lists this ribosomal RNA (1418 nucleotides) under metagenome. Its description in RNAcentral is "bacterial SSU rRNA". It matches the Rfam family "Archaeal small subunit ribosomal RNA". The record is from RNAcentral.